RNAcentral lists this ribosomal RNA (313 nucleotides) under uncultured Alphaproteobacteria bacterium. RNAcentral's name for it is "bacterial SSU rRNA". It matches the Rfam family "Bacterial small subunit ribosomal RNA", at positions 157 to 504 of the family's 1533-position model. The record is from RNAcentral. Lineage: Bacteria; Pseudomonadati; Pseudomonadota; Alphaproteobacteria.
CUUGAGCUAAUACCGGAUACGCCCUUUGGGGGAAAGAUUUAUUGCCGAAAGAUCGGCCCGCGUCCGAUUAGCUAGUUGGUGAGGUAAAGGCUCACCAAGGCGACGWUCGGUAGCUGGUCUGAGAGGAUGACCAGCCACACUGGGACUGAGACACGGCCCAGACUCCUACGGGAGGCAGCAGUGGGGAAUAUUGGACAAUGGGCGCAAGCCUGAUCCAGCCAUGCCGCGUGAGUGAUGAAGGCCCUAGGGUUGUAAAGCUCUUUCGCCAGGGACGAUAAUGACGGUACCUGGAUAAGAAGCCCCGGCUAACUUC